Molecule: ribosomal RNA, 143 nt
Filed under: uncultured bacterium Af9-up
Lineage: Bacteria
Description: partial 16S ribosomal RNA
Rfam family: Bacterial small subunit ribosomal RNA
Source: RNAcentral
UACGGGAGGCAGCAGUGGGGAAUAUUGCACAAUGGGCGAAAGCCUGAYGCAGMGACGCCGCGUGAGGGAUGACGGCCUUCGGGUUGUAAACCUCUUUCAGCAGGGACGAAGCGCAAGUGACGGUACCUGCAGAAGAAGCACCG